Molecule: non-coding RNA, 1059 nt
Organism: Gasterosteus aculeatus aculeatus (three-spined stickleback)
Lineage: Eukaryota; Metazoa; Chordata; Actinopteri; Perciformes; Gasterosteidae
Source: RefSeq, a predicted model, not a curated record
CUCACAAAUGCUGCCGCUGUUUCCUGUAUUUGUCAUCAAUUGUACAUCAGCAUUUUGGUUCAGAGUGAAUCAAGACAACUGGUUUUGGUGGCGUAUCGUGCAACACUUUCAAACAUGUGUAUUGAUACGUUUUUGCGAUGCUUGAUACAGUUAUUUACACAUUACAUCCACACCGUUAAAAAAUUGCUUUACAGACGUGAAAUCCGAAAAUACACCGGGGAUUAAGCAAUCACGUUAAUUAGCAACAUCAGUAUAAAGGCAGAAUUGCAAAAUUUGUGCGACCUCUGCUCAGUAGAAAUACAUUUCGAAAAGCUAUAGAAAGGACAGAAAAUUAGAAAGCACUGAUGGACCCUCGCAAAGUCAACGAGUUGCUUGAGUUCAAGAUCAACCACAACUAUCCGACUGAGUUCAACCAGAAUCAGCGAUACGUUCUAAAAAGACGGGCAGAGAGUUACCAAGUGAUAAGUAAGGCAAUCCACACGACCCUAUGGUUUCCUAACGAAUUUUUAAAUGUAUUUUUAAUGUUUAUGCAAUAUACAUCCUUUGAUGGGGAACUUUAUUACCAGUGCCGCAGAAAAAAGGAUGAGCAGCGUCAUCAUGUUGCCAAAGUCGUACUUACUCCACAAGAAGCGAACAACAUCUUUGUCGAGUUUCAUGCCAGCGAUAUUGGGGCUCAUUGCGGUAUUGAGAAAACCUUGGAUGCAAUCCUUCAAAGGUAUUACUGGCCUGGCAUGAAGGCUGACAUCCAAAAAUGGAUUGGCCAAUGUGACGCUUGCCAAAAAAAGAGGACCUCUAUAAAAGAGAAAAUCCAGUACAAACCCAUCGAGGUGACCGAGCCCUUUGAGCUUGUGGGAAUGGACCUAGUUGGCAAGCUGAAAUGCACCAACAAUGGUUACAUGUACAUUUGUGUCAUGGUGGACUACUUUACGAAGUGGAUAGAAGUCUACCCGCUAAGAACGAAGGGAGCAGAAGAAGUCACACGCUGCAUAAUGGACUUCUUUUACAAGUAUGGUGCCCCAAAACGCAUCUUGACCGACCGUGGCAAAGAAUUUGUCAACA